Molecule: long non-coding RNA, 3320 nt
Filed under: Sus scrofa (pig)
Lineage: Eukaryota; Metazoa; Chordata; Mammalia; Artiodactyla; Suidae
Description: lncRNA (ENSSSCG00015078798.1)
Source: RNAcentral
UUUAAAAACUAGCACUCCUCCCCCUCCUUCCAAAGAAAUGUCUUAUAUUUCUCUGCAGAACUUCAUUUCCUUUUGGAUCAGACAUCCACUUGUUCAAAAAGUCCUUGUCUCAGGAAGCACCUCCAACUUAUGCCCAGUUAUUUCCAUUCACUUUGGAUAUAUUAACCUCUAGGACAUAUCCCUGUCUAGAGUCACAGCAGGUUCUAUGCAGAACACCUGGACCCCAAGAAUUUAUUAUUCUAUGACAACCAGAAAAAAGAUCAGAAAUUUUGAGAAGAAUUAGAGACCUAACAUGCUCUGACCCAACCAACCUGUGUGUGCAAUGCUGCAUUAGAAUUUACAGAGCCCUGGAGGCCGGUGUCUUUGUCCUGGCCACACUUUCUGACAAGCCUUACCAUCCACCAUGAGCAAAGUUAAGAGGCAGCUGACUAUGAAACAUGAAUGCAUUUUUUUUUUUCCCAGUGGCCAGAAAUUCUUGGGCUAGGGGUUGAAUCUGCACUGCAGCUGAGGUCUACACCACAGCCACGUCAAAAGCAGAUCCGAGCAGCUCUGCAACCUAUGCUGCAGCUUGCUGUAACACUGGAUCCUUAACCCACUGAGAGAGGCCAGGGAUUGAACCUGAAUCCUCAUGGAGACUAUGUUGAGUUCUUAAUCCACUGAUGCACAAUGGAAACUGCUGGAACACAUCUUUGUUCACACUGUUCCCAAUGCUGCUCCCACAGCUGCUUCUGUGACUAGCUUAGCUCCCAAGGUCCAAGAACAGCAUGAAUCCAUCUGUAUCCUUUGACAGUAAAAAAUCAGUAAAUGCACUUGCUGCGUAGCUGAAUAUUGCUUGGCUUGAGAAAUUGUGAGAACAGAAACCACCAUUGAUAACAUGAUGUUAUCAAUCAAAGGUUUUCAAGCCCCAGGAAAGUGGUUGGAAAACUUGAAAGGAGGGAUGGAAAUAGUGAUGAGGUAAGGGCAGAGUGCUCCUAAAAUAUCUGGCAAACAAAGAAAAAGUUAACUGAAUGAAUAGUGGUUACAUGGGGAAAAAUCACCUGACCUUUGUCUCACAAAACUUCACUUCUUGGCUUUUGUCUUUCUCAGCAGAUCAGCUUAGGAAAGUAACAGUAACAUCAUCUGUUCCUUUUCUCUCAAUAGCAGUGAAAUUUGAUGCCCUAUUGACUUAGGGACCAGCCUUAGAUCUCCUUAGAUCUAAGGGCUCAAGAUUUCCUCUAUAUUCCCUUAGCCUCUGCGAUAUUGAAUGUAGUACACAUUUCCCAUCACAUCAUCCCAUAUUGUGAACAUUUUCUCUAUGGUCUAUUUCUGACCAACAUAUUUUCCUCUUAAGAUGAUUUUCUCCAGGUAUCUGUUAGAUUUGCAAAAUGAGAUGUCCCUCCUUUUUGAACAGGAAUUCUUCUACAUGCUUACUUAAUUUCCCUAUUCAGAACCUCCUUUCUAAUAACCUCUGCUCCUUGAGGAAUAUUUGCAUCUGCGUCUUCCCACCCAUCCUUUUGUCUCAAAGCAUAGAUGAGGUUGGACUCAUUCAUUCUGCCCAGCAGUGAAAAUCAGUGGAAAUCCUACCAAGCCCCUCCCACAUUGCCUCAAACUGUGUUGCAGCUGGAGUCAAUCAUGUUUUUCCUACCCUAUCUUGCCAAUUAAAAAUGUAAGAUCUGUUGAAGACACACUUUCUAUAGGAUCUUCAAAUGGCAGGCUUGCCUUCAUCCCCUGUCAUAACCCAACCCACAGCCCUGAUGCUUUAGUGAGCCAUCUUGUUCCUAUGUUCUUUUUUAUAAUAAUACAUCUCUACAGGCAAUUUCUGUUUACUUCCUUCCCAUCAAGGCUUCCAUUUUACCUAGACCAGAAUUUCCCAAGACUAAAAUCCAUCAUCUUAAAAGUGAUCUAGCUUACAUUCAGUGUCCUGGAAACUCUGUUCUUGUCCAACACAUCUGUGACCUAAUGGGAACCUCGUCCUGCCAAGAGGCCUACAAAUAAGGUGCCUUUGUCUUGCUUGCUUCUCCAGCACACAGGGCUGCACAAACCUCUGAUGAACAAGUGCGGUGAAACCAAGCAUGCCCUGAGUUGUCUGUGACUUAGGAGGUGGCAUCUCAGUGGAAUAGAAGCACUUCUCCUCCUCCUGAUUGGAGGCUAUCCUGGCCCUGUAACCCUCCCAGUGCACACCUGUGUUAUGUGCCAAGUCUGGGGGACAGUAGACACAAUAACGUGCUUCAGUGACAAAGCUGCUGUCCCAUCCAACAGAAACUGACGAUCCAGUUGCAACUUAUUUCACUUUGACCAAAACACAAGUUGUUUAGUGAUUUGGGUUCCUUUUUCUUGGUCAUGGUCUUAUCACUCAUUGUCCCGCACAGAACCCAGCUUCUUCAUUUUUCUGGUUCCAAAAGAUCUAGAACUUUACAGUUUUCUUCAAGUUCACUACUAGUAUGAUUAAAUCUCAUGAGGGCUAAAAGACACCAUAUUUGAAAGUUAUGAUCUCAUCAGUUAUGUAGUUAGAUCUUGUCCAAGACUAUCCGGGAAAAAUGUUCCCCAGAUGAGGUGGUAAAAAGUUCUUUUGCCUUAUUAUACUCUGUUCAGGGGACCAAACUCUCCCCAACUCCUCAGCCUAGGGACGUAGCUUUAAUUUUCAUAAGUCUUUGCUUUGGCAUUGCUGAAUACACACAACUCUCGUAUCACUGUGGAUUUUCACUCCUGGAAAAGAGCAAUCUCGUAUGAUCCCUUGCCUUUUAUUCCUCUGUUGAAAUUGACAUAGAGUAUAUUGUCCAGGAGAAACCUUGAUGAGGUUCCACGUAGCCUCUGGCUCAUGCUUUGGCUGAUGUGUCAUGAACACAAGCAGCCAUUUGCCCUUCCUGGAAGGACAGCCUUUUGCUUUUUUCCUCACUUCUAUAAUAAUUCUCUUCGUACUUUCUGUUUUCACAGAAUCCUCAUCCUCAAGGGGUGUCAUUUUUACCAGUACUGCCAUGAAGGGUCUUGUUCUUCAUGUUGGAUCCGUAAUCUCAUGGCAAGAAGAUGCUCCUCCAAAGAAAUAAUCCAGGAGUUCCCAUUGCGGCUCAGUGGUUAACGAACCUGACUAUAUCCAUGAGGAUGCGAGUUCAAUCCCUGGCAUUGCUCUAUGGGUUAAGGAUCCGGUGUUGCCAUGAGCUGCGGUGUAGGUCACAGACAUGGCUCGGAUCUGACAUUACUGUGGCUGUGGUGUAGGCUGGCAGCUGUAGCUCCAAUUCAAUCCCUAGCCUGGGAAUUUCCAUAUGCCUUGGGUGUGGCUCUAAAAAGGGGGAAAAAAACCAAAAAACAAAAAAACACAGAAACAACAAAAAAAAAAAAAAAAA